Molecule: transfer RNA, 54 nt
Filed under: Erinaceus europaeus (western European hedgehog)
Lineage: Eukaryota; Metazoa; Chordata; Mammalia; Eulipotyphla; Erinaceidae
Source: Rfam by way of RNAcentral
CAAGAGGUAACUCAGCUGGUAGAGUGCAGGACUUGCAUUCCUGAGGCUCCUUGU